UUUUWCAAAAACAUCUCUUCUUGAUUAAUUUUUUGAAGUACGGCCUGCCCACUGAAUUUUGAAGGGCCGCGGUAUUUUGACCGUGCGAAGGUAGCAUAAUCAUUAGUUCUUUAAUUGUGGGCUGGAAUGAAUGGCUUGACGAGGUGUUAGCUGUCUUUCUAGUAUUUAGGUUGAAUUUGAUUUCUUGGUAAAAAUACCUAGAUUUUUUUAUGGGACGAGAAGACCCUAUAGAGUUUUAUACAAUCUUUCUUUUUGGUUUGUUUUUUCGUGUUGGGGAUUUUGUAUUUUGUUGGGGUAAUGGGAGGAUAAGUUGAACUCUUCUUUUUGUUUUUCACUGAUUUGUGUUUAUUAUGAUCCUUUAUUAUUGAUUGUUAGAUUAAAUUACCUUAGGGAUAACAGCGUAAUCUUCUUUGAGAGCUCUUAUUGACAAGGGGGGUUGCGACCUCGAUGUUGGAUUAAGAUGAAUUUCUGGUGUAGAGGCUUUGGAAAGUUAUUAUUAGGUCUGUUCGACCUUUAAAAUCUUACGUGAUCUG
This 533-nucleotide ribosomal RNA is filed under the name Kalotermitinae sp. ENT-MG220. Its description in RNAcentral is "partial small subunit ribosomal RNA". It matches the Rfam family "Bacterial large subunit ribosomal RNA", at positions 1803 to 2607 of the family's 2925-position model. The record is from RNAcentral. Lineage: Eukaryota; Metazoa; Arthropoda; Insecta; Blattodea; Kalotermitidae.